GUUUCAGGGAAAACGGUACUAUUUUUUUCUGCCAUAGGCGACAAUACUAACAUUUUCUAAAUUUACCACUUUUUAUAAUAAAAACCUGGACAAAAUAGUUAUGUGUGGUUUUAGUACUUUAUUACUCUAUUUUAAAAAUUGAAGCCAAAUAGUAUCAUGACCAAUUUUCAACGGAGCUUGUUUAUGUUAUCCAUGCCCAUCGUCAUUUUACACCAAAUUUGUGAAAUUUUGGAAGCCUUUUCG
Molecule: long non-coding RNA, 243 nt
Filed under: Mytilus galloprovincialis (Mediterranean mussel)
Lineage: Eukaryota; Metazoa; Mollusca; Bivalvia; Mytilida; Mytilidae
Source: RNAcentral